CCCUUAGAUGUCCUGGGCCGCACGCGCGCUACACUGAACGGAUCAGCGCGUUUUCCCUUCCCGAGAGGGACGGGUAACCUGCUGAACCCCGUUCGUGGUAGGGAUCGGGGCUUGCAAUUAUUCCCCGUGAACCAGGAAUGCCCAGUAAGUGCAAGUCAUAAGCUUGCGUUGAUUACGUCCCUGCCCUUUGUACACACCGCCCGUCGCUACUACCGAUUAAACGUUUUAGUGAGGUACUCGGACUGAGCCUCAGAAGAUUCACGUCUUUUGUGCUGCUCGGGAAGAUUCCCAAACUUGAGCGUUUAGAGGAAGUAAAAGUCGUAACA
Molecule: ribosomal RNA, 326 nt
Filed under: uncultured eukaryote
Lineage: Eukaryota
Description: partial 18S ribosomal RNA
Rfam family: Eukaryotic small subunit ribosomal RNA
Source: RNAcentral